RNAcentral lists this transfer RNA (71 nucleotides) under Myotis davidii. It matches the Rfam family "tRNA". Rfam says of the family: Transfer RNA (tRNA) molecules are approximately 80 nucleotides in length. Their secondary structure includes four short double-helical elements and three loops (D, anti-codon, and T loops). Further hydrogen bonds mediate the characteristic L-shaped molecular structure. tRNAs have two regions of fundamental functional importance: the anti-codon, which is responsible for specific mRNA codon recognition, and the 3' end, to which the tRNAs corresponding amino acid is attached (by aminoacyl-tRNA synthetases). tRNAs cope with the degeneracy of the genetic code in two manners: having more than one tRNA (with a specific anti-codon) for a particular amino acid; and 'wobble' base-pairing, i.e. permitting non-standard base-pairing at the 3rd anti-codon position. The record is from Rfam by way of RNAcentral. Lineage: Eukaryota; Metazoa; Chordata; Mammalia; Chiroptera; Vespertilionidae.
GCUGACAUGGCUCAGUGGUUGAGCAUCAACCUAUGAACUGAUAGGUCAUGGUUCGAUUCCAGGUCACGGCA